RNAcentral lists this ribosomal RNA (253 nucleotides) under uncultured bacterium. RNAcentral describes it as "partial 16S ribosomal RNA". It matches the Rfam family "Bacterial small subunit ribosomal RNA", at positions 524 to 776 of the family's 1533-position model. The record is from RNAcentral.
UACGUAGGGUGCGAGCGUUAAUCGGAAUUACUGGGCGUAAAGCGUGCGCAGGCGGUUUUGUAAGCCGGAUGUGAAAUCCCCGGGCUUAACCUGGGAAUGGCAUUCGGGACUGCAAGGCUGGAGUGCGGCAGAGGAGACUGGAAUUCCUGGUGUAGCAGUGAAAUGCGUAGAUAUCGAGAAGAACACCGGUGGCGAAGGCGGCCAUCUGGACGGUGACUGACGCUGAGACGCGAAAGCGUGGGGAGCAAACAGG